UUUUACAGUAAUUAGAACCCAAAACAUUUUUUUAUUUUAUUUUUUAUAAAUAUUAUUUAUAGGUAAUUUUUGCGGUCCUAAAAAGUGGUAUUAUGUAUAACCUUUUUUACCUUUUGAUUUUGGGGUGAAAUAUGACAGACAUGCUGUUUGUGAUUUUAUGGCAAAAUGUGAUUUAUAUUAAUGGCUAUUUCUACUCAAAGGCAAGAAAACUGUUGUGUGGGAUAUUAAAACAGUUGGUAGAUCAAAUUACUGGAAAGUGCUAUAAGAAAAAGAACUCAUCAACUCGAGGUGGUCUUCAGGUUUGGUUGAAGCCAUGAUUUGGUUGGCACAGGUGCUUAAUACAGACUUUAUGAUUAUUCAAGAGCACUUGAGGACAGGCUGCUUUUUGACUUCAUUUUGCUCAUAGUGCCUUCUCACAUAACAGCUCAAGCGAUUCUUCACCGUGCUUGGUGGAAGUCUGCUUUCUUAAACACAGAUGAAAUGAAAAACCUGCUGCAUGUACUCUGCCAAAAAAUAGUUUUAGUCUGAUAUUAUUCCAUUUAUUUACAUUAUCAGGCAGUUACUAAAGCUAUGAAGGAACUUAAUCUUAUCUUUCCCAGACUCACAAAUCUGCUUGUUGAAUGCAGCUUUUAUUCAUCAAUAAACAGACCAUCACACUGUCAUGAAGACAUGCAAUUCUUUGACAUUUUAUAGCCGGAGGUUUCUGAUCUGCCCUACAUUUCACAGCACAUUUAUACUUCACUAUUAAACAGCUGGUUUAAGGUUAAAACGCUUAUGCACCUUGUUAUGCCUUAAUAACCACCUCUAUACUCAGGGCUUUUUAAAUAUCCUCAUAACUCAUAGUAAAGUUUAUUUCGCUGCAUGACUGCAAGCAAUCUGCUAGAUUCACAUUAAUGCAUUAUUCUUUUUCAUUAGGCAUUUUUAAUAUUUUCAUAAAAGCAUCAUCCAAAUAAUGCACAGCCUGCACAGACGUGAGAAUGCAGGGUUCCUGUGCCAUCCAAAACUUUAAUAUCUCCCCAGCUUUGGUUGUUUAUAGGUCAUCUUUUAUGGUGAUAAACGCUGACCCUUUCCUCCAUUCGAUUUCUGACAGAUGCAAAUGAUUUUCAGGUUGUACAUUUGUCGAAAAAGAAGAUAAUGAACAAUGAGUUCAUGUCUUU
This is a long non-coding RNA of Cyprinus carpio carpio, 1157 nucleotides long. NCBI's taxonomy places the organism in Eukaryota, Metazoa, Chordata, Actinopteri, Cypriniformes, Cyprinidae. The record is from Ensembl.